AUAUAGGACGUCCAACUUAACUUGGAGUCCGAACUCUCACUUUCUAACCCUGUGCACUUGUUUGGGAUAGUAACUCUCGCAAGAGAGCGAACUCCUAUUCACUUAUAAACACAAAGUCUAUGAAUGUAUUAAAUUUUAUAACAAAAUAAAACUUUCAACAACGGAUCUCUUGGCUCUCGCAUCGAUGAAGAACGCAGCGAAAUGCGAUAAGUAAUGUGAAUUGCAGAAUUCAGUGAAUCAUCGAAUCUUUGAACGCACCUUGCGCUCCAUGGUAUUCCGUGGAGCAUGCCUGUUUGAGUGUCAUGAAUACUUCAACCCUCCUCUUUCUUAAUGAUUGAAGAGGUGUUUGGUUUCUGAGCGCUGCUGGCCUUUACGGUCUAGCUCGUUCGUAAUGCAUUAGCAUCCGCAAUCGAACUUCGGAUUGACUUGGCGUAAUAGACUAUUCGCUGAGGAAUUCUAGUCUUCGGAUUAGAGCCGGGUUGGGUUAAAGGAAGCUUCUAAUCAGAAUGUCUACAUUUUAAGAUUAGAUCUCAAAUCAGGUAGGACUACCCGCUGAACUUAAGCAUAUCAAUAAGCGGAGGAAAAGAAACUAACAAGGAUUCCCCUAGUAGCGGCGAGCGAAGCGGGAAGAGCUCAAAUUUAUAAUCUGGCACCUUCGGUGUCCGAGUUGUAAUCUCUAGAAAUGUUUUCCGCGUUGGACCGCACACAAGUCUGUUGGAAUACAGCGGCAUAGUGGUGAGACCCCCGUAUAUGGUGCGGACGCCCAGCGCUUUGUGAUACAUUUUCGAAGAGUCGAGUUGUUUGGGAAUGCAGCUCAAAUUGGGUGGUAAAUUCCAUCUAAAGCUAAAUAUUGGCGAGAGACCGAUAGCGAACAAGUACCGUGAGGGAAAGAUGAAAAGCACUUUGGAAAGAGAGUUAACAGUACGUGAAAUUGUUGGAAGGGAAACGCUUGAAGUCAGACUUGCUUGCCGAGCAAUCGGUUUGCAGGCCAGCAUCAGUUUUCCGGGAUGGAUAAUGGUAGAGAGAAGGUAGCAGUUUCGGCUGUGUUAUAGCUCUCUGCUGGAUACAUCUUGGGGGACUGAGGAACGCAGUGUGCCUUUGGCGGGGGUUUCGACCU
This 1117-nucleotide ribosomal RNA is filed under the name Rhodotorula mucilaginosa. RNAcentral describes it as "eukaryotic LSU rRNA". The stretch from base 526 to 1117 matches the Rfam family "Eukaryotic large subunit ribosomal RNA", at positions 1 to 589 of the family's 3401-position model. Lineage: Eukaryota; Fungi; Basidiomycota; Microbotryomycetes; Sporidiobolales; Sporidiobolaceae. The record is from RNAcentral.